This 468-nucleotide ribosomal RNA is filed under the name uncultured bacterium. Its description in RNAcentral is "partial 16S ribosomal RNA". It matches the Rfam family "Bacterial small subunit ribosomal RNA", at positions 28 to 507 of the family's 1533-position model. The record is from RNAcentral.
GACGAACGCUGGCGGCGCGCCUAACACAUGCAAGUCGAACGGAGCUGAGAGAAGCUUGCUUUUCUUAGCUUAGUGGCGAACGGGUGAGUAACGCGUGAGUAACCUGCCCUGGAGUGGGGGACAACAGUUGGAAACGACUGCUAAUACCGCAUAAGCCCACGAUCCGGCAUCGGAUUGAGGGAAAAGGAUUUAUUCGCUUCAGGAUGGACUCGCGUCCAAUUAGCUAGUUGGUGAGGUAACGGCCCACCAAGGCGGCGAUUGGUAGCCGGACUGAGAGGUUGAACGGCCACAUUGGGACUGAGACACGGCCCAGACUCCUACGGGAGGCAGCAGUGGGGGAUAUUGCACAAUGGGGGAAAACCUGAUGCAGCGACGCCGCGUGGAGGAAGAAGGUUUUCGGAUUGUAAACUCCUGUCGUUAGGGACGAUAAUGACGGUACCUAACAAGAAAGCACCGGCUAACUACGUG